GACAAAAUCGGAAUAGUGAUUUUGGCCUAGUCCAGGGUCCAGAGUCGAGAAGUGUCCACGGCGACAGAGCCCCGCCAUGUCUCCUCGCCUCGCCGAGACGGGCACCCGCCGUCUUUCCGGGUCCCCUUGUAUCCAUUUGAAAUUGCGGGAGCGUCCGCCGUCUUUCCGGUGGAACUGCGUCGGUCGCCGGGCCGCCGGCGCUGCCCCGAGUAUUCCUCUACUCCAAGCCUGUCGCCUCCCCUCCCUCCGCCCCGGGGCAGCAUUCCGUCGAACAAAUCGUCUCUUUCACAUGUCAGUCUGUCAGACACCUUUAUUUGUUAAUCACCGGUCUACCCGAGACCAGCCUUUUCUACCCGUCAUCAAUUAACACAGUAUUCAGCAUGAGUUCCACUGGUUAGUGGUUCAGUUCAUCAUUGCAUGGCUUUAUCUUUGUGCUGGAACAGCAGCUGUUUCAUGGACCGAUAUAAUCCUCAAAUGAUUGCUUCAAAAGAGGAUCAGACACAACUCAAAGGGAUGUGGCUGGUGCCACCAUUGAUAAUACCUAAUAUCACUAUCCAAGAAUGACUUAUCAACACCUGAGCCCUGUUCAUCUGAAAAGAAGUAUUAGAGUUUGCUUUACGAUAUAUGGGGUCUUGAGGUGUCAACUAUCCCUCCAGGGAGGGUAUAUCUUUUCCAAGAAAGUGAAAGGUAAAAUUCUAAUGGUAGAAGAAUAUCUAUAACGAAAGUGUCCUUCUAAAUGGUUUCUUUAAAAGUAUAUCAACACCGGAGCUCUCUGUACAUCUGCAAAGUAGUACUUAUUAGAGUUGCUUUACGAUAUAUAGGGUCUUGAGGUGUCAACUAGAUGCCUGUAAGAUGGUAGCCGAAUUUGUGUGUAGUAACCCAAGAAACACCUCACAACCCUUAGCCUAUUAGUCAUACGUAUCACACAGAAAUCAUUUGCGUUUUCUCAAACAUUGUUGUUUCUGGUAAGAGGCUUUGUGGAGAGAUUGUUUUUUCUCUGAAAUUUUACUAGUAGAUGCAAAAAUAGAAACGUGCCCAUCUCCAUGAAAAGGCUACCACUACCCCCACAUGGUAGGCUGAGUCCAGAAUGGAGAUUAGAUUCCCUGAUCCAUGACAUGCAAUUCACAAAGGUGACAUUGAUCUGCAUCUGCAUGCCUCUUUUGUGACGAAUGCUUUCAGUUGUUCCUUUGCUGUUUCCAUCCAUGCUGUCGAUUACCAGUAGGCUCGGCGCCUGAUCACAGUAGGAGUCCCCCACACAUAGCCAAAUCAGUGGAUGGGGCCACCCACUGCCGAAAUCAGUGGAUGGUAAUUGGGCAGGUUGUUGGCUCUGCUUUUGGUAUGGAAUGCAACCUUGGAUCUCCCUGACCCAGUUCUCUGUCAGCCGUUCAUGCUGCUGUCACCAGAAACAUCUGUGCAGCUUCCUUUUACUUGGGAUCAUUUUAAAAGAUGGAAUAGUGUGUAAGGUAAGGUAUGCUGCUGAACGGUGAUAGUGCGAACUGGCCGAACACCUACAGCUCCAAGAACUCACAAGGAAAACAGGAGUCGGCCAGGGACAAUUUCACCACUUUCAGAAGCCCUGAAUUGGAAAACUCUCGUGAAGCAAAGCUUCUUGUGUAAAACCAACAUAUCUAUAGCACAAACAGUGGAGCUGGAGCCUAGCCAAACAGGGCCCUUGCUUCGACUUCUACCGAUCGGCUGCAGGGCUGUGGUAGAAACAAGAGCGAAGAUUUAUAAUUGAUUAUAUCAUCUGUUGUUUCUGAACUCUUACUGCUCGUUUGAGUCAUGACUUCAGGUAGCUAAUUUUACCUAAAUGCGUUCUUAAGUAACUGUUUGCCAUGAAAAAGGUAAAUUCUCAAAUAUAAGAAAAGGAACAAGGCUGAAGAGGGAGAAACCACCCACCUUUUACUUGAAAGUGGGUGAGGACUGAAACUGGCUAUGUGCAACCUCGCUUCCCUAGCUAGUUCAACUCCAGGAGAGUUCUCAGGUUCUCGUGAUAUGGACUGUGAACUGUUUUUUUGGGCAUUAUUUAGUAAAAAGAAUUAAGUUUAGCCAAAAGCUGGUCUGAGUUAUUUUCCUAUUUUUACUCUUGAGUUUUCAGAAAAAACAGUAGAGCUGAUAUUUCAUAUGAUCAUCGUUUUAGUUUUAGAAAAGGUUUUGUUAUCCAAAUUUUAUGCUAAUAUGCUUUUUGGAAAUAAAAUUUAUGCUAAAAUUAAGAAAAAAAAGUUGGAACUAGAUGCUACUCCCUCUGUUCUAAAAUAUAAGGUGUAUUUGUUUUUUUAAGUCAAACGUUUGCAUCUUUGACCAUGUUUUUUACAAAAAAUAUAUCAAUAUCUACAGUAUCAAAUUGGCAUCAUUAGAUCCAUCACGAAAAGUAUUUUCAUGUUUUAUUUAUUUUGUAUUGUAGAUGUUGAUAUUUUAUUUCAUAAUCUUGGUCAAACAUAAAUAAGUUUGAUUUCCACAAAAAUUGAUACACCUUAUGUUCUGGGACGGAGGAGUAUCUAGCUUCCCCAUUUCUGGCUUCAAAACUAGGCGUGCUCCGGAGUGGCGGAGUGCCCUGCGUUUGAAAGCUGGAGCCACAAAAUCAUCCAAGAUUCUUCGUCGAUAGUGAAGUGCUAUUUUGGCCCCCGCAAAAACAAAAGUUAUUUCUGCCCGUCCAAACUGUAUGUAUGGUUGGUAAAAAAUUAUUACUUGUGUAGGGGACAUUUUGGUUCCAACAUGGCAGAAAGCGAGAGAUGGCGAAAAGGCGAGCAAGAUGGAGGCCUGGGAGUGAUUUGUCGCCCGGGCCGGCCUUAGAAUUGCAGGUAAGUGGAUUCUGAUGGGCCCACAGUUCACGUGCAGCGUUUGACACAAAUUCUGACUUUGGCACGUUGGUGCUGGCGUGUCGACUGCCGAGCAUAACCCAUAACUGUAAGGGCCCAUUUGAUAUAUACCUUUAGAACGACUACGUACGAUCACACCACUUCCUAAAAAAAACCACUUUGCCGAACUUUACCGCAGCAGUCAUCACCAAGCAAAUUAAAAUGUUAGCCGUACCUGCAAUGUGUCAUUUGGCUGUGACGUUGAUCUUUCUCUUUUCUUUGUGAGAAAAACCUGCGAUCUAUUUAUCAACUAUCGUAGUAUAAAGAACACCAAAAUUAAAAAAUACAUCUAGGUCCUUAGAGCAACUUCAAUGGGGCGAUCCAUUUUGUCUGUCACCGUCCGUUUGGAUUGGUGCAGACACAAAAGUCGGCCCAACACGCCGACCCAAACAGACACGCGUCCGCAUGCCGACCCAUUCCCGGCCCAUUUUUGAGCCGGAUUUGCAUCGGCACGGACAUGCGCACGCCUACUCCUCCCCCUCGGGCCCGCUGGUUGGUGGCGGCCACAACCAUUUCCCCUCCUUUUUCCCCAAAACCCUCCCGCCCGCGCGCGCUCCCGCCCCAAACCCGCCAUGGACGACGACCUCGAUCUCAACGCCGCCGCCAGCCUCGCCUCCCUCGCCUCGUCUGGCAUGAUGACCGCCCCUCCGACAAAGGCAAGCCUCGUGCCCCGCGCAAGAUCGCUGCCGCGCCCAAGCCAAAGAAGGCGCUGACGCCCGAACAGCGAGCGAGGGAGUCGGCCAAGAGGAAAGGUCGGAGGCACGCCGCGGACGCGAGGGAUGAAGUCGUCGCGGCUGUCGCGCAGCAGGAGGUCACCAACACCUGCGACGCGGCGGCAACAAGGGAGCAUGAUGACCGGGAUGGAGAUCAUGAAGGUGGAUCUCAACACCGUGUCGCCAAGGAAAAGGUCGUGGUUCGAGAAGAUGAAGGCCGACAUGCUCAAGUUCACCGACGAGUGAUCUCGUGGCCACGAGCACCUUCCUUUUUGUAUGUCGGCUUGUGUGCUGGCAUGACCAUGGGGCCGCGAUGGCAUGGUCGAACUCAAGUCUCACCCCUUUUGUGUGCUAGCAUGUGUGCCGGCCGCUGGCGAGUGCGCCAGCAUGAACUGCGGUGCUGUUUUUUGAAGCCGGCAAUGUAUGUCGACGCUGGUAUGGUGCCGGCAUGAUCUAUGGCCGUUGGCAUGAUCUAUGACCGCGGGCCUUUUUUUUUAAAAUUGAGUGCGGACAUGAAAUGGGUCAGCGCGUUCGGCGCACUGCUGACCCAAAUGCAAAACUGGGCGGACGCCGGGCGCGCGGCCGACCCAAACGGACAAAAUGCGGACAAAUGCGCCGUCCGUUUGGGUCGGCCCAUUGGAAUUGCUCUUAGAUCACCUAGUGACGACCGCAAGCACUGGAGCGAGCCGAAGGCGCGCCGCCGUCUUCGCCCCUCCGUCAUGUUGAUCUUUUUUUAACACAGUAAAGAAAUGCUCGUACAUACACAUACACUCACCCUACGGACGCACGCAUGCACACUCUACUCCUAUGACCACCUUCGAGAGACUGAGCCGGCAUAUCAUCUUGAGAUUAAGAAGUCAUCACAGGCGCCUUUGUAGUCUAGGGCAUUCCUGCCGUCUAAGACGACCUCUUCUUCUUUCUAGCAACUGAAUGCACAUAGCCAAAACGCCUAAAAUAAAUUCAAAAAAAUAUGACCACAAAUGCCAAGUCUAGGACUUGAAUCCUAUUGGGUUGGUUUCACCAAAAAGAAUCUAACCAUCCGUUGACUAUAUGUAUAUUAUGUAAUGAUGUGUGUUCUUGCUAUCAUGUGCUACCCUGGGCAUAUGGGCGUGCCAGAUUAUAAAUAAUCUAAAUCAACAAAAGUCACCAGCAAACCGCCUUUUCAUUUUCUAUAAAAAGACCAACCGUUGCUAGAAAGAAGAAGAGGCUGCCCUAGGCCGUUGUGAUCGCUCCAGCGGUGCUCCAGUUCUCAUUCAUUGCAUCAUUUAAUGGAUCGGAGGUGUUUGUUGGAGGAUCCAUGGUUUCGUCGCCGUUUUCGCAUACUGAAACCAUUGUUUUUGCGCAUUGUGGAGGGAGUAGAGGCACACGACGACUACUUCAAACUCACAAGGGAUUGCUACGGCCAACUCUCUUUCUCGGCCAAGCAGAAGUGCAUGGCUGCUCUGAGGAUGCUUGCACUUGGUACUGCUACAGAUACCGUUGGUGAGAUGACUGAGAGCACGUGCUUGAAGACUACUGUCAAGUUUGUCUGUGCCAUGGUGGAGGUGUUUGGACCUGAGUAUCUUAGAAAACCAAAUGCGCAUGACACAGAGAAGUUGUUGGCUAUUGGAGAGGCAAGGGGGUUUCUAGAAAUGCUCAGAUCAAUUGAUUGCAUGCAUUGGCAAUGGAAGAACUGCCCCAAAGGUUUGUGCGGACUGUAUCAAGGUCACACCAGAGGGGUCACCAUCAUACUAGAAGCGGUGACAUCACAUGACUUAUGGAUUUGGCAUGCUUUUUUGGAAUGUCGGGUUCUCACAACGACAUCAACGUGCUUCAACUAUCUCCGGUGUUCAGGAGGCUUUGCAAUGGGGAAUCACCCUAUGCAACUACACCCUCAACGACCGAGAGUACAACAUGGGUUACUAUCUUGCUGAUGGUAUCUAUCCUCAGUGGGCAGCGUCUAUGAAGACCAUAUUCGAACUGUGUGGCAAUAAACAGAGCCACUUUGCAAUAAUGUAGGAAGCGGCUAGGAAGGAUGUGGAGAUGCCAUUUGGUGUGCUUCAAAUUCAGUGGGGAAUUGUGCGGAGCGCUGCAAUGAUGUGGAAAUUAGAAACUUUGUGGCAGCUAAUGACAUGUGGUGUUAUUCUGCACAAUAUGAUUGCCGAGGAUGAGGGUGAUGGCGUAGCCCAAACCCAUGAUUACGAAGCACCUCGAGAACAAGUUGAAAUCUCGGAAGAUCAAGAUGUGGCUCGGCUUAUGAACUUUAUGCAGAUGCAUUAGAAUCUUCGAGAUCAGCAGGUGCACACACAACUACUCAAUGAUCUUGUGGAGCACAUGUGGACCUGCAAUGGCAACCAAGGAGCCAAUACUUGAGUUUGGCCCUUAAAAUAAAUUUUAUGUAAAUGCUACCUAUGCUUGGUACUGAUACGUCUAUAACGUAUCUAUAAUUUUUUAUUGUUCCAUGUUGUUAUAUUAUCAUUCUGGGAUGUUUUACAAUCAUUUUAUAGCAACUUUAUAUCAUUUUUUGGGAGUAACCUAUUGACAUAGUGCCCAGUGUCAGUUGUUGUUUUUUGCUUGUUUUUUACGUCGCAGAAAAUCAAUACCAAACGGAGUCCAAACGCAGCGAAACUUUUUGGAGAUUUUUUUGGACCAGAAGACACCUGUCGGGCCUAAGGAGUACCAGAGGGGAGCUCCAAGGGGAGCAUAGCCCACGAAGGCGUGCUUGGGGGCCUAGGCGCGCCCAGGUGGGUUGUGCACACCUCGGUGGCGUCCCACACCAACUCUUUGCCCUAUAAAUUUCCAAAUAUUCUAAAAACCCAAGGGGAGUCGAUAGAUCAGAAGUUCCGCCGCCGCAAGCCUCUGUAGCCACAAAAACCAAUCUAGACCCCGUUCCAGCACCCUGCUGGAGGGGGAAAUCAUCACCGGUGGCCAUCUUCAUCAUCCCGGCGGUCACCAUGAUGAGGAGGGAGUAGUCCACUCUCAGGGCUGAGGGUCUGUACUAAUAGCUAUGUGUUUAAUCUCUCUCUCUCUCUCUCUCGUUCUUGAGAUGUUACGAUCUUGAUGUAUCGCGGGCUUUAUUAAUAUAGUUGGAUCAUAUGGUGUUUACCCCUCUAUAUCUUGUCGUGAAUUGAGUUUUC
Molecule: non-coding RNA, 6687 nt
Organism: Triticum urartu
Lineage: Eukaryota; Viridiplantae; Streptophyta; Magnoliopsida; Poales; Poaceae
Source: RefSeq, a predicted model, not a curated record